CUCUGACAAGCAUGUUCUCCUAUGGGAUACGAAGUACAUGAAGAGGAAUGAAGAAGCCCAUGUUUGAUGCUCGUCUCCAGGGUGGAGUAUUGAAUUUAUAACUAAUGAAGUGGCAUCUGACACAUGACAAGCUGCUCCUGUUUGCACAGCAACUUCAACAUUGUGUACUGUGAUCACGGCAUAGUUCAGAGGUAGGUAACCUUGGGCAGUCCAGAUGCUGUGAAUUACAUCUCCCAUAAUGCUGGCAAACCAUUAUGGGAGAUGUAGUGCAAAACCUCUGGAAUACCGAAUGCGGAUGAAUGCAAAGUAUGGUGUGUGAAUGGUCAGUAACAAGGGUUGAAGCCUUGACGUGGCGUUACUGCUCACAUGUGUAUUCAUGUGCCAAUUCAACCAAUGUGAGUCACUGUAAUACUUAUAAGGUAACCAAAAGUACUGUGAUUGUGGAGAAUGAAACUCCUUAUCCUAUGAAAUCUCCUAUACACUGCUGACACUGUGACCGUAUCUCCUAUACACUGCUGACACUGUGACCGUAUCUCCUAUACACUGCUGACACUGUGACUGUAUCUCCUAUACACUGCUUACACUGUGACCGUAUCUCCUAAACACUGCUCACACUGUGACCGUAUCUCCUAAACACUGCUCACACUGUGACCGUAUCUCCUAUACACUGCUGACACUGUGACCGUAUCUCCUAUACACUGCUGACACUGUGACCGUAUCUCCUAUACACUGCUUACACUGUGACCCAAUCGCCUAAACACUGCUUACACUGUGAAUGUUAUUUUUUUCAAGUUUGUUUUAGUGUUUGCGGUUUCAUUGAUUUGUUAACCAUUCUCCUCACUCUUCUGUUCUGUGUUUUCUUACAUUUGUGGGAAGAACAAGGUGAUCCUCUCAAUUUUACACUCCUUUACUGAUGGUUCCAGUGCCAGAGACAACCCCACCACCAUUAACCUCGACCUGCUCAAACAGAAGAGAUUACCUUCUUCUAUAGAAAACGUCCUUAUGGCUGUUUCGGAACACAUGGUGCAGACAUGAUGUAACCUUAAUUUUCCAGUGAUUAAGACUCGUGGACCGUCCAGGGAAAGAGACCAUUACAUUAUUAAGAUACUACCUUCCUAAUGCCAUACAGCCUUUCUUUACAUGUGAUCAUGUGAUUGAACUUUCUCCUUCUUGGAUACCACAGUGUGACUUUUCU
This is a non-coding RNA of Pelobates cultripes (western spadefoot toad), 1195 nucleotides long. The record is from the annotation of a GenBank genome assembly. NCBI's taxonomy places the organism in Eukaryota, Metazoa, Chordata, Amphibia, Anura, Pelobatidae.